AUCGCUCUUCUCUUGUGCCCUGUUCUCACUGAACGAAUUCGCACGGAGUUACUUGCGACUUGCUCGCAGUGUGCAUCUCGUAGCGAACAACGACGGCAAGCGGGAGAACAUUGCAUCCUUGAGGCACGCCAAGAACACUGGUUUACCGGUGACGGGACGGCGUCACUGGCUGCCUGUUUCGGAGAAAACCAAAGCUGCCCAACUCGUUCUUGCUCUUCGGUAGGAGGGGGAGUACAUGUACGGCUGAGCGGCGCGUUGCAGUUUUAGACGAUGGGAAUCUUAGGUUUGUCAAAGCUGCUCUACGACAAGUCCCCAAAUGCCAUCCGGGAGCAAGAGCUGAAGAACUUCUUUGGGCGUCGCAUCGCCAUCGACGCCUCCAUGAGCAUUUACCAGUUCAUCAUUGCCAUGAAGGGGUUCCAGGACGGGCAGGGAUUGGAGCUCACAAACGAAAAGGGUGAUGUGACAUCACACCUCAACGGGCUCUUUGCCAGAACUCUCCGCAUGAUCGAUGAGGGGAUCAAGCCCAUCUACGUUUUUGAUGGAAAGCCUCCGAAAUUAAAGGCUGACGAGCUGGAGAUGCGCCGUCAGAAGGCUGCUGAGGCAGAGAGGGAGUUUGAGAAAGCGAAAGAUGCUGGCGACGACGAAAUGAUGGAGAAGAUGAGUAAGCGAACUGUGCGCGUGAGUCGAGAUCAGAUUGACGAGAGCAAGAAGCUUCUACGGCUCAUGGGGAUUCCUGUGAUCCAAGCGCCUUCGGAAGCCGAGGCUCAGUGCGCAGAGCUGGUGAAGAAGGGCAAGGCUUGGGCGGUGGGCACGGAGGAUAUGGACGCCUUGACGUUUGGCUCCACAGUCAUGCUCCGCCAUCUGAACAUCAGCGACGCCAAGAAGCGACCCAUUGCAGAAAUCCACCUCGACGAGGUGCUGCAAAUAACGGGUCUGUCCAUGGGCCAGUUCGUUGAUCUUUGCAUUCUUCUCGGCUGCGACUACGUCCCCAAGGUUCCCGGGAUCGGGCCGCAAAAGGCGUGGGAGGGCAUUCAACGCUAUGGCAGCAUCGAGUCAUUUCUAGAGUCCCUUGACACCACGAAGCACCCCGUGCCUGCCGACUUUUAUUACAAGGAGGCCCGCGCCUUCUUCCAGAAUCCGGAGGUGACUCCCGCGGAAGAGAUCAACAUUCAAUUUUCGGAGCCAGACGAGGUUGGGCUGAUUCAGUUUCUUGUGAAGGAGAAGCUGUUCAACCCAGAUCGCGUCAACAAGGGCAUCGGGCGGCUGAGGGCUGCCCUCACCAGGAAAACGCAGGGACGGCUGGACAGUUUCUUCACGGUCACCAAGGUACCUCAGCAGACAGCCGCUGCGCGUGCGCCGCUCGCUGGAACAAAGAGGCCGCGGGAUGGAAAAUAUGUGCAUGUCUCCGGAACUCUACGAAAGGCAACGAGCGGCCACAAAAAAGCUGUGAAGAAGUAGAUUUGUACCCUGUAGAGGCGACCUUGAAUCCACAUAGGAGUGGUACUCUUGCAUAGAGUGCGAAUGAGGGCGGGGAGCUGUCUGUGUGCAGCAGCGACUCAUUUGCUCUAUCCUGCGAUGCCGCACGCGGUGCACGAUUACUCCGCAUUCCUUGAAAAAGUCAAGUGAGCUGAUUGAACUGGUUGCCGAGGAAAGGAAAAGGCGUACUACAGCUGACAUGCGCACUCUAGAACGCUUACUGUGCGACUCCGAU
This 1711-nucleotide unclassified non-coding RNA is filed under the name Leishmania donovani. RNAcentral's name for it is "gene:LdHU3.27.0340(CDS-product:flap_endonuclease-1_(FEN-1)_putative)". Lineage: Eukaryota; Euglenozoa; Kinetoplastea; Trypanosomatida; Trypanosomatidae. The record is from RNAcentral.